AGCUGUUCAGCAUUCCCCACGGAGACCUGUCAAGAUGCUGUCGCAGGCCCAGCUUCUCUGGAUACUAGUGCUUUGGAUUCAGGACUCCUAUGGCCAAAUUGUUUUGACUCAGAUUCCAGAAUCCCUGUCAGUGUCCCCUGGAGAGAGAGUCACCAUCAACUGCAAAGCCAGUACCAGCAUUAGCAACUACUUAGCCUGGUUCCAACAGAAAUCGGGACAAGCUCCUAAGCUUCUUAUCUACGAUUCUACUAAUCGCGCCUCUGGGAUCCCAGACCGGUUCAGCGGCAGUGGGUCUGGGACUGAUUUCACUCUCACAAUCAGCAGGGUUGAAGCUGAAGAUGCUGGAGAUUAUUACUGUCAGCAACGUAACAGCUUCCCUCUCACAGUGAUACAGACCAUUACAAAAACCUCCCUGAAAAGAGAGAAAGCUCGCUGCUUACUGUACAACUACAGACACACCUGGAUUUAUGCUUUGAUUUCACAUACAGAUGCCAGUGGAGACAUUGUGAUGACGCAGACUCCGGAAUCCCUGUUGGUAUCUCCAGGAGACAGAGUCACCAUCAACUGCAAAGCCAGUUCCAACAUCGGCAGUGAGAUAGACUGGUACCAACAGAAAUCAGGAGAAGCUCCUAAGCUUCUUAUCUAUUAUGCUUCCACCCGUCCCUCCGGGAUCCCAGACCGGUUCAGUGGCAGUGGGUCUGGCACUGACUUCACUUUGACAAUCGGCAGUUUUCAAGCUGAUGAUGCUGGCAGUUAUUAUUGUCAACAGGACUAUGGUUUGCCUCUCACACAGUGA
This is a non-coding RNA of Emys orbicularis (European pond turtle), 796 nucleotides long. Lineage: Eukaryota; Metazoa; Chordata; Testudines; Emydidae. The record is from the annotation of a RefSeq genome assembly.